This 260-nucleotide long non-coding RNA is filed under the name Gossypium raimondii (Peruvian cotton). RNAcentral describes it as "long non-coding RNA (GRAI_LNC004014)". Lineage: Eukaryota; Viridiplantae; Streptophyta; Magnoliopsida; Malvales; Malvaceae. The record is from RNAcentral.
GGGGAUAUUUGCGCCUUUCAUCCUUCCGCUUUUGUGGCUUGUUUCAACCUAGUCCUAUCUUUUUUUUUAUUUUUUUUAUUUUGCCUUUUAAUUUAAUUUUACUUUCAUUUUGGUCUUUGGGCCAUUUUAAAAGAUGGGUACCUGAAGUGGUGUCGUUUCAGUCGACUCGAAACCUGACUCGAUUUCCAGGCAGGAUUUGCGAGUUUUUGUGAUUAGGGUAUAAUUGCUACCCUAGUCCUUUCACUUUUUAGGCAGUUUUC